RNAcentral lists this ribosomal RNA (547 nucleotides) under uncultured bacterium. RNAcentral's name for it is "bacterial SSU rRNA". It matches the Rfam family "Bacterial small subunit ribosomal RNA", at positions 355 to 896 of the family's 1533-position model. The record is from RNAcentral.
UGGGGAAUAUUGCGCAAUGGGGGCAACCCUGACGCAACGACCCCGUGUGAGGGAAGAAGGGUUUCGGGUCGUAAACCUCUGUCAGGAGGGAAAAAACCCUUGGGGUCCAACAGGUCCCUUGGCUGACGGUACCUCCAGAGGAAGCACCGGCUAACUCCGUGCCAGCAGCCGCGGUAACACGGAGGGUGCGAGCGUUAAUCGGAAUCACUGGGCGUAAAGCGCACGUAGGCGGCCAGGUCAGUCAGAUGUGAAAGCCCACGGCUCAACCGUGGAAUUGCAUUUGAAACUGCCUGGCUGGAGUCUCGGAAAGGGCGGCGGAAUUCCCGGUGUAGGAAUGAAAUCCGUAAAUAUCGGGAGGAACACCAGUGGCGAAGGCGGCCGCCUGGACGAACACUGACGCUGAAGUGCGAAAGCGUGGGGAGCAAACAGGAUUAAAUACCCUGGUAGUCCACGCUGUAAACGAUGGAUGCUAGGUGUCGGGGGGCAACCUUCGGCGCCGCAAUUAACGCGUUAAGCAUCCCGCCUGGGGAGUACGGUCGCAAGGCUG